Long non-coding RNA from Cervus elaphus (red deer), 390 nucleotides. RefSeq lists it as uncharacterized. The record is from RefSeq and is a predicted model, not a curated record. Lineage: Eukaryota; Metazoa; Chordata; Mammalia; Artiodactyla; Cervidae. The transcript has 4 exons.
CAUCAGAACCUGACCAUGCUGGCACUUUGAUCUCAGACUUCUAGCCUCCAGACUGUGAGAAAAUGGAGGCUCAGAAAGGCUAAAGCGUUUGCUGAAGAUCAUACACAGCUGGUCAAGUGUGCUGGCCCAUCUGCAGCCCCCUUGAUGUGUGCUGAGCACUGCUUAACUAUUAAAACACAUGUUUUAACACAUGUGUUCACUAGUUCCUUAUACCCAUUCUGGUUCAUGGAGGUGUGUGAACAUCAGGACCAAGGCCACCUGACAAUCACAGGGGGACCUGAGAUCAGCUUAGCAACCAGUGACCCCAGGAACGUCUCCCUUCAGUCUGGUGUCUGGUUUGGAUCUGGUCAGAUGAACCAUGUCUCCUGGCUAGCUGACAACCCACAGGAG